AUUGAACGCUGGCGGCAUGCCUUACACAUGCAAGUCGAACGGUAACGCGGGGCAACCUGGCGACGAGUGGCGAACGGGUGAGUAACGCAUCGGAACGUGCCCAGUAGUGGGGGAUAGCCCGGCGAAAGCCGGAUUAAUACCGCAUACGACCUACGGGUGAAAGGGGGGGAUCGCAAGACCUCUCGCUAUUGGAGCGGCCGAUGUCAGAUUAGGUAGUUGGUGGGGUAAAGGCCUACCAAGCCGACGAGCUGUAGCUGGUCUGAGAGGACGACCAGCCACACUGGGACUGAGACACGGCCCAGACUACUACGGGAGGCAGCAGUGGGGAAUUUUGGACAAUGGGCGAAAGCCUGAUCCAGCCAUGCCGCGUGCGGGAAGAAGGCCUUCGGGUUGUAAACCGCUUUUGUCAGGGAAGAAAUCUUCUGGGUUAAUACCUCGGGAGGAUGACGGUACCUGAAGAAUAAGCACCGGCUAACUACGUGCCAGCAGCCGCAGUAA
Molecule: ribosomal RNA, 498 nt
Filed under: uncultured bacterium
Lineage: Bacteria
Description: partial 16S ribosomal RNA
Rfam family: Bacterial small subunit ribosomal RNA
Source: RNAcentral